Long non-coding RNA from Mugil cephalus (flathead mullet), 222 nucleotides. RefSeq lists it as uncharacterized. The record is from RefSeq and is a predicted model, not a curated record. The transcript has 3 exons. Lineage: Eukaryota; Metazoa; Chordata; Actinopteri; Mugiliformes; Mugilidae.
CUCUCUUUUAUGUUACUGGAGCGACUGCAUUUGUCAUUGUGAUUGGAAUCAUCCUGGGAUUUAUCAGAGAAGAAAUGGAACACAUGACCACAGCACUGUACACGGAAGUGGAAUACACCGAGUGAGACGGGGCUUAAAGUUUUACAUAUAUUUCAUUUCUUAUCUCUUAUUGAAAAACAUACUGUCUUGUAUAACAAAAUAAAAAAAAAUUGUUAAAACAAA